GACGAACGCUGGCGGCGCGCCUAAUACAUGCAAGUCGAACGGGUACCGCUUCGGUGGUGCCAGUGGCGGACGGGUGAGUAACACGUGGGUGACCUGCCCUCCGGUGGGGAAUAACUCUGGGAAACCAGGGCUAAUACCGCAUAUGCUUAACACUUCGCUGUGCUAAGUAAAGAUUUAUCGCCGGAGGAGGGGCCUGCGUCGGAUUAGCUAGGCGGUGGGGUAAUGGCCUACCGCGGCAGCGAUCCGUAGCUGGUCUGAGAGGACGACCAGCCACACUGGGACUGAGACACGGCCCAGACUCCUACGGGAGGCAGCAGUAAGGAAUAUUCCACAAUGGGCGCAAGCCUGAUGGAGCGACGCCGCGUGAG
RNAcentral lists this ribosomal RNA (368 nucleotides) under uncultured bacterium. Its description in RNAcentral is "bacterial SSU rRNA". It matches the Rfam family "Bacterial small subunit ribosomal RNA", at positions 28 to 405 of the family's 1533-position model. The record is from RNAcentral.